GAUGAACGCUAGCUACAGGCUUAACACAUGCAAGUCGAGGGGAAACGGCAUUGAGUGCUUGCACUCUUUGGACGUCGACCGGCGCACGGGUGAGUAACGCGUAUCCAACCUUCCCAUUACUGUGGGAUAACCUGCCGAAAGGCAGACUAAUACCGCAUAGUCUUCGAUGACGGCAUCAGAUUUGAAGUAAAGAUUUAUCGGUAAUGGAUGGGGAUGCGUCUGAUUAGCUUGUUGGCGGGGUAACGGCCCACCAAGGCAACGAUCAGUAGGGGUUCUGAGAGGAAGGUCCCCCACAUUGGAACUGAGACACGGUCCAAACUCCUACGGGAGGCAGCAGUGAGGAAUAUUGGUCAAUGGACGGAAGUCUGAACCAGCCAAGUAGCGUGCAGGAUGACGGCCCUAUGGGUUGUAAACUGCUUUUGUAUGGGGAUAAAGUUAGGGACGUGUCCCUAUUUGCAGGUACCAUACGAAUAAGGACCGGCUAAUUCCGUGC
This 493-nucleotide ribosomal RNA is filed under the name uncultured Prevotella sp. RNAcentral's name for it is "bacterial SSU rRNA". It matches the Rfam family "Bacterial small subunit ribosomal RNA", at positions 28 to 508 of the family's 1533-position model. Lineage: Bacteria; Pseudomonadati; Bacteroidota; Bacteroidia; Bacteroidales; Prevotellaceae. The record is from RNAcentral.